Molecule: ribosomal RNA, 116 nt
Filed under: Neobacillus niacini
Lineage: Bacteria; Bacillati; Bacillota; Bacilli; Caryophanales; Bacillaceae
Source: RNAcentral
UCUGGCAGCAAUGGCGAGAAGGUCACACCCGUUCCCAUACCGAACACGGAAGUUAAGCUUCUCAGCGCCGAUGGUAGUUGGGACUUUGUCCCUGUGAGAGUAGGACGUUGCCAGAC